Molecule: ribosomal RNA, 305 nt
Filed under: uncultured bacterium
Lineage: Bacteria
Description: partial 16S ribosomal RNA
Rfam family: Bacterial small subunit ribosomal RNA
Source: RNAcentral
ACAGCAGUCGCCGCGGUAAUACGUAGGGUGCGAGCGUUAAUCGGAAUUACUGGGCGUAAAGCGUGCGCAGGCGGUUAUAUAAGACAGAUGUGAAAUCCCCGGGCUCAACCUGGGACCUGCAUUUGUGACUGUAUAGCUAGAGUACGGUAGAGGGGGAUGGAAUUCCGCGUGUAGCAGUGAAAUGCGUAGAUAUGCGGAGGAACACCGAUGGCGAAGGCAAUCCCCUGGACCUGUACUGACGCUCAUGCACGAAAGCGUGGGGAGCAAACAGGAUUAGAUACCCGCGUAGUCCCUGUCUCUUAUAA